AUUGAACGCUGGCGGCGUGCUUAACACAUGCAAGUCGUGCGGUAACAGGCGUAGCAAUACGUGCUGACGAGCGGCGAACGGGUGCGUAAUACAUGGGAAUCUGCCCUUUAGUGGGGAAUAACCCGGCGAAAGCCGGGCUAAUGCCGCAUAAGAUCUUCGGAUGAAAGCGGGGGAUCGUAAGACCUCGCGCUGAUGGAUGAGCCCAUGUCGGAUUAGCUAGNGGUGAGGUAACGGCUCACCAAGGCGACGAUCCGUAGCUGGUCUGAGAGGACGGCCAGCCACAUUGGGACUGAGACACGGCCCAGACUCCUACGGGAGGCAGCAGUGGGGAAUAUUGGACAAUGGGCGAAAGCCUGAUCCAGCGACGCCGCGUGUGUGAAGAAGGCCUGCGGGUUGUAAAGCAC
Molecule: ribosomal RNA, 404 nt
Filed under: uncultured bacterium
Lineage: Bacteria
Description: bacterial SSU rRNA
Rfam family: Bacterial small subunit ribosomal RNA
Source: RNAcentral